CUAACAAGGAUUCCCUCAGUAACGGCGAGUGAAGCGGGAAGAGCUCAAAUUUGAAAUCUCCGAUGCCUGCAUCGGCGAGUUGUAGUUGCGAGAAGCACUUUCUAGGCGGAUCGGCGGUGCCUAAGUUGCUUGGAACAGCACGUCGCAGAGGGUGACAACCCCGUCUGUGGCGCCGGCGGCCGCCGACGAUGUGCUUUCGAAGAGUCGGGUUGUUUGGGAAUGCAGCCCAAAAGGGGUGGUAAACUCCAUCUAAAGCUAAAUACUGGCGUGAGACCGAUAGCGAAGGAAACGAAUGGACUCAGCAAUGCGCCCUUUGAGAUUCAGCCGGCGGGCGGUCUUGGCCCCGGGUUUGCGGAUCUGAAUGGACCGCGGCCCUCGGCUCUCGAUCUCCCCCGCCGUCGCACUUCUCUGGGGCGCGCGUCAACGUCGGUUGGGACUGGGUCUGAAAGGUGCCGGGAAGGUAGGAGCGGGCCUUCGGGUCGGCUCUGUUACAGCCCGGCUCUCCUUCAUGGCUCGGGCCCGACCGAGGCGGUUGCAGGGCAUGCCUCUUGUGGCUAGGGUGCCGCCCUUCCGGCCGGCUGUUCCAGUGCGGUGGACUGCUUGCAGUGCUCGGCGACGGCUGCCGGUCGUUGGGGUGGUGAUCU
This 644-nucleotide ribosomal RNA is filed under the name Mussa angulosa (spiny flower coral). RNAcentral's name for it is "eukaryotic LSU rRNA". The stretch from base 1 to 281 matches the Rfam family "Eukaryotic large subunit ribosomal RNA", at positions 65 to 358 of the family's 3401-position model. Lineage: Eukaryota; Metazoa; Cnidaria; Anthozoa; Scleractinia; Faviidae. The record is from RNAcentral.